RNAcentral lists this ribosomal RNA (465 nucleotides) under uncultured Caryophanales bacterium. RNAcentral describes it as "bacterial SSU rRNA". It matches the Rfam family "Bacterial small subunit ribosomal RNA", at positions 338 to 795 of the family's 1533-position model. Lineage: Bacteria; Bacillati; Bacillota; Bacilli; Caryophanales. The record is from RNAcentral.
CCUACGGGAGGCAGCAGUAGGGAAUCUUCCGCAAUGGGCGAAAGCCUGACGGAGCAACGCCGCGUGAGUGAAGAAGGAUUUCGGUUCGUAAAGCUCUGUUGUUAGGGAAGAAUGAUUGUGUAGUAACUAUACACAGUAGAGACGGUACCUAACCAGAAAGCCACGGCUAACUACGUGCCAGCAGCCGCGGUAAUACGUAGGUGGCAAGCGUUGUCCGGAAUUAUUGGGCGUAAAGCGCGCGCAGGUGGUUUAAUAAGUCUGAUGUGAAAGCCCACGGCUCAACCGUGGAGGGUCAUUGGAAACUGUUAAACUUGAGUGCAGGAGAGAAAAGUGGAAUUCCUAGUGUAGCGGUGAAAUGCGUAGAGAUUAGGAGGAACACCAGUGGCGAAGGCGGCUUUUUGGCCUGUAACUGACACUGAGGCGCGAAAGCGUGGGGAGCAAACAGGAUUAGAUACCCCAGUAGUC